GACGAACCGUGCGAACGUUGUUCGGAAUCACUGGGCUUAAAGGGCGCGUAGGCGGCUUCUCAAGUCCGGGGUGAAAGCUUUCGGCUCAACCGGAAAAGUGCCUUGGAUACUGGGAAGCUCGAGGGAGGUAGGGGCGGCCGGAACUUCCGGUGGAGCGGUGAAAUGCGUAGAUAUCGGAAGGAACGCCGGUGGCGAAAGCGGGCCGCUGGACCUCUACUGACGCUGAGGCGCGAAAGCCAGGGGAGCGAACGGG
This 253-nucleotide ribosomal RNA is filed under the name uncultured bacterium. Its description in RNAcentral is "partial 16S ribosomal RNA". It matches the Rfam family "Bacterial small subunit ribosomal RNA", at positions 524 to 776 of the family's 1533-position model. The record is from RNAcentral.